Long non-coding RNA from Panonychus citri (citrus red mite), 2374 nucleotides. RefSeq lists it as uncharacterized. Lineage: Eukaryota; Metazoa; Arthropoda; Arachnida; Trombidiformes; Tetranychidae. The record is from RefSeq and is a predicted model, not a curated record. The transcript has 6 exons.
ACAAUGAUUCUGCAAGAUAAAUGAGAAAAUAAAACAAUAAUUAGAAAAUGAAUUCAUUGAAAACAAACGUGGUUUGAUAGGUUUCUUUAGUCAUUUUAUUCUCAAACCUCCAAGGAGAUUUCAAUUGUAUUUUUCACUAAAAUUUUCUUCCUUUUUUUAUUAUCAUUUCAUAUCAAUAUGAUCACUAGUUUAAAUUACACAUGUUGAUAACAAAAUCGCAAUUAAAAAAACAAUAAUAAACAAUUAAUUUAAUCACAAUUUAAAUCUUAAAACAAAAACACGUUUUUUUUGAUUCAAAACAAACGAAAAGGGAUAAUUAAAAAAGUGAAAAUUGUUCUUCUAUCAAAGGUUAACUUUAAUUCUUCACUUUUGAAACGACCCCUAAAUCUAAAUAUCUUCUGAUUUUUUUGUUCCGUUAAUUGUUAUUAAUUAAUUUCUUUUAAUUGUGAACCUUUUUACCACUGUUUUACUGUAUUAUUCCUAAUUGUUGAUUGUUAAUUUUGUUGGGAAUAUAAACUCGAAUCGAUAACCAAUACUAAAUGGUCAAUAUUUGUCUUCUAAAAGUGAUCAAUGUCCACACCUUAAAGGUGAAGCCCGGGUGAUGGUUUAACAAUUGUUACAAAUGAAUAAAUGAUUUGAAAUAAGGGUCCACCUUAAAUGUAUUGAUGGAAAUUGUGAAAAUCUCAAUAUAAUGGUCACCUCUUGAUGAUCCAUAUACAAGGUUGGUAACAAUUAAAAUAUAUGAUUAGAAAAUCGCAAGCGGAAAAUAGACAAAUUAAAGGAUCUCUCAUUCAUUGGAUAUUGUGAUCAACGUUUUCUAUUAAAAUCUCAAGUGAUUUCUUCAUCUUAAUGAGUUUGAUUGUAAUCAAAAUUGAACAUCAUCAUCAUCAUCAUUUAACUGAAGAAGAUGGAGAUGAAGAUGAUGAUGAUGAUGAUUAUAAUUAUAUUCCAUCUAAAUAUUACAAGAGUAUUUUUUGACUUUUGAUCAAAUGAAAAGAUGAAAAAUCAAAUAAUCGCAAUUUGUUUGUUAAUUGUCUUGUUAUUGUUUAUCAUUUUUAGCAUCAAUUUAUAAUUCGCAUCACCAUUACCAUCCUGUGUAAAAGUUACGCUUAAAACCUCAAUCAAAUCUCAGCAAAUUUGGGUCAUCAAAAUGUUUACCUGUUAAAUGAACAUUUUCAUUUUUCAGGGUUUGGUUUGGUUAACAAUCAGUUAAUCAUGUUAAUAUAUAUCUUUGAUUAUGUUACCGUUUACAGUGGAUUUUACCAAAAAGCUUCUCCCAACUACUUAAUACUGGAAGCAUAAUAAUCAACAGUAACAAUUUAAUCCUAAUCUUUGAAUUGUUGAUAUUCUGAUUACUUAUUAUACAGAAAAAAAAGUUGAUCAGUUAUCAAUCUAUUCUUGAUUUGAACUGAUUAAACCAUGAUAGUGAUAACGAUGAUUAAGAUAUUCAUAACAUUCAUUGAAUUGAUUGGUUUGAAUCUCCCAAUGUUAAUCUGAUAAUCCAAUGAUGAUUAUAAUUUACCUUUGCAAUCAUGGUCAAGUAUAAAAGGUUAAUACCUGUUGAUAUAUUAUAACAAACUUGAUCAACAUGAUGUUUAACUCAAUUGAGAUCACCGUCAACCGUAAUUAAACCAUUGGGUCAACCAAUUAAAAGGCUCAAUUGUUAACAAACUGACCAUCACUUGAUGUUUUUUAUUUCUCUCUCUCUUUCUUAUCUUCAUCUCCUUUUUUUUUGUUUCAUUUCUCUUUCUUUGUUUCUAAAAGGGAUGAUAAUGGUCAAUAUGAUGAUGAUGAUGAUAAUCUUUGGUGUCCAUUUACAAUUAAGGAAGAUACUUUAAAGAGGUGAGAGACACAAUGGUCAAUAUUAAUUGGAUGGACAACAGAAUGGCAAGGAAACAAAGUCAAUACAAUAAUUGGUGUAACAAUUAAAGUUGAUCGUCUAUUCAUUUAUUUGGAUUGCGAAAACGGAUCUUAAAACAAUUGAUUUUAAGACAAAAAGGUCAAGUUCGAUAUUCGGGAUAAAAAAAAACUCGUAAAAAGGUACGAGCUCAUUUUCUUUCCGCUCGAGGCCUCAAAGUUUAUCUUUCUCAAGAUUUGGCGGAUUAAUUUCAAUUGGAAUAAAAAAUAAUUCCAUCUCACCCUUUUUUCUCAUAUACUAAACAAUUAGAAUCAACAAUUAGCUUCAUGUGAGACUUGGCGAUCUCACUAGUGGUCAGUUAUUGGUCAUUUGUCUUACCUGGAAAAAAAAGUUCCAUCUUUUUUUUGUCUGUUUGAUUAACUUGAUUGUUUAACUAAUCAACAAUUAGACUUAAUUGGUUUCCUUUCAUUAAACGGAAACCUUUUUAACCAAAUUAAAACUGUAUAAUAUCAAAUA